Molecule: small nucleolar RNA, 133 nt
Filed under: Erinaceus europaeus (western European hedgehog)
Lineage: Eukaryota; Metazoa; Chordata; Mammalia; Eulipotyphla; Erinaceidae
Description: Small nucleolar RNA SNORA31 (ENSEEUG00000022968.1)
Source: RNAcentral
AAGCAUCUACUUUAUAGACCUGGAGCAGUUAUGGCUUGCAACUAUUCUGCUGACUAUAAAUGCCAGACAAAUAUAUCCUCACCCUUUCUACCUGCCUGACUGUGACAGCAAGACUGAAUGGGGGAAUGUAGUA